RNAcentral lists this transfer RNA (72 nucleotides) under Pangasius djambal. Its description in RNAcentral is "tRNA-Glu". It matches the Rfam family "tRNA". Rfam says of the family: Transfer RNA (tRNA) molecules are approximately 80 nucleotides in length. Lineage: Eukaryota; Metazoa; Chordata; Actinopteri; Siluriformes; Pangasiidae. The record is from RNAcentral.
UCCCUAGAGGACUAGUGGUUAGGCUACGGCGCUCUCACUGCUGCAGCCCAGGUUCGAUUCCCGGCCUGGGAA